GUGGUUUUAUAAAAGUUUUAUCCUGGCUAAUAGUUCUUAUUAUUAAGUUGAUGGUACAUGUAAGAUUUGAACGUGACAAUUAGUAUAUUUAAUUUAAUAUUAGAUGUAUAAAAAGAGUAGAGGAGUCAAUAAGAAAUUAAGUCUCAGUAUUUAGUGCUAAUUAUAAAUGUAAGUUGGAAUUGGUAAUCUUAAUUUUAUUCAUCUGGCUAAAAUUUGUGCCAGCAGCCGCGGUUAUACUGAGAGGUGGAUUAAGAAAGAUUUGGUUAAAAACAAUUAAGUGUGUUGGCUUACAAUUUAGAUGUUCGUACUGAUAAAGGGUGAAAUCAAUUUUUUGGUGAGCGAAGAACUUAAAGAUAGGCUAAAAUUGAAGUUGUUAAGAUAAAGGUAUGGACCAGGAUUAGAUACCCUGUUACACUUUAUUAAAAUUUGUUUUACCGGGGUAAUAAACAGUUAUUGUCUUGAAACUCAAAGGAUUUGGCGGUAAUUUAGUCUAUUUAGAGGAACCUGUCCUAUAAUCGAUAAACCACGAAGAAUCUUACCUUGUUUAGUAGUUUUUCAGUUUGUAUACCGUCAUUAUUAGAUAACUUUAAUAGAAGUGAGUUAUUACAAUAAUUGUUUUAAUAUAUUAGAUCAAGGUGCAGCCGAUAGCAAGGAAGAGAUGGGUUACAAUAUAAUGAAUUUAUACGGAUUAAGAUUUUAAAUUUUCUUGUGAAGGUGGAUUUAAUAGUAAAAGUGGUUUAACAAGCCUCUUUGAUUUUAGCUCUAGAUUAUGUACACAUCGCCCGUCGCUCUCGUUAAUUAAAGCGAGAUAAGUCGUAACAUAGUAGGUGUACUGGAAAGUGUACCUAGA
Molecule: non-coding RNA, 850 nt
Filed under: Pleoticus muelleri
Lineage: Eukaryota; Metazoa; Arthropoda; Malacostraca; Decapoda; Solenoceridae
Description: 12S ribosomal RNA
Rfam family: Microsporidia small subunit ribosomal RNA (bases 143-850)
Source: RNAcentral